UUCUCAACUUGGAGUCUCUCUGGUGAGUCUCUGCUCAAGUUCGGCUCAAGAGAUUCAAACAGAGCAGAGUAGUAUCUCAGAGCGUUUUUGAAUCGGUUUACGUACCCAAUCCGAUUCAAACACGCUUCAUACUCGCCUAAAGUAACAAUCUUCGGGUUCAACGAUUUAGCCAUCCUUAGAGCAGUCUCUACACCAACUGGAGUCUCGUCCAGUAAAUUAUACAACUGAAGCAUGAAA
RNAcentral lists this unclassified non-coding RNA (237 nucleotides) under Hevea brasiliensis (rubber tree). Lineage: Eukaryota; Viridiplantae; Streptophyta; Magnoliopsida; Malpighiales; Euphorbiaceae. The record is from RNAcentral.